AUAUCAAUAAGCGGAGGAAAAGAAACUAACAAGGAUUCCCCUAGUAACGGCGAGUGAAGCGGGAUGAGCUCAAAUUUAAAAUCUGGCUGGUUUACUAGUCCGAAUUGUAGUUUAUAGAAGCGUUUUCGGUGGCAGCCUGGGUAUAAAUCCUUUGGAAUAGGGUAUCAUAGAGGGUGAGAAUCCCGUCUUUGACUCAGUGCAUGCUACUAUGUGAUACGUUUUCAAAGAGUCGAGUUGUUUGGGAAUGCAGCUCAAAAUGGGUGGUAAAUUUCAUCUAAGGCUAAAUAUUGGCGAGAGACCGAUAGCGAACAAGUACCGUGAGGGAAAGAUGAAAAGAACUUUGAAAAGAGAGUUAAACAGUGCGUGAAAUUGUUGAAAGGGAAACGCUUGACACCAGUUAUGCGGGUGGAAAAUCAGUCUUUUGCAAUGGGGAGUUGUGGGCGUUCAGACCGCAAGGCUGGCGUUUGCUUCAUCUUUGUUGUAAGUGAUGCACUUUUUCAUUUGCAGGUCAACAUCAGUUUGCUUUGCUGGACAAAACCCCAAGGGAAGGUGACAGCUUAGGCUGUGUUAUAGCCCUGGGGCGAUACAGUGGAGUGGACUGAGGUUUCGCAGUGUGUGCUCUCGGGCAAGGCUGAUUGGGUGCUAUGGGAUCGUUCGGCGUACAAUGCAUGCAUUUUGCGUCGUGUCUUUUUCAUACUCGCUCAACUCGGCUCUUCCACGCUUAGGAUGUUGACUUAAUGGUUUUAAUCGA
Molecule: ribosomal RNA, 751 nt
Filed under: uncultured fungus
Lineage: Eukaryota; Fungi
Description: eukaryotic LSU rRNA
Rfam family: Eukaryotic large subunit ribosomal RNA
Source: RNAcentral